GAUGAACGCUGGCGGCGUGCCUAAUACAUGCAAGUCGAGCGAACAGACGAGGAGCUUGCUCCUCUAACGUUAGCGGCGGACGGGUGAGUAACACGUGGAUAACCUACCUAUAAGACUGGGAUAACUUCGGGAAACCGGAGCUAAUACCGGAUAAUAUAUUGAACCGCAUGGUUCAAUAGUGAAAGACGGUUUUGCUGUCACUUAUAGAUGGAUCCGCGCCGCAUUAGCUAGUUGGUAAGGUAACAGCUUACCAAGGCAACGAUGCGUAGCCGACCUGAGAGGGUGAUCGGCCACACUGGAACUGAGACACGGUCCAGACUCCUACGGGAGGCAGCAGUAGGGAAUCUGCCGCAAUGGGCGAAAGCCUGACGGAGCAACGCCGCGUGAGUGAUGAAGGUCUUCGGAUCGUAAAACUCUGUUAUUAGGGAAGAACAAAUGUGUAAGUAACUAUGCACGGCUUGACGGUACCUAAUCAGAAAGCCACGGCUAACUACGUG
This 497-nucleotide ribosomal RNA is filed under the name uncultured bacterium. RNAcentral's name for it is "partial 16S ribosomal RNA". It matches the Rfam family "Bacterial small subunit ribosomal RNA", at positions 28 to 507 of the family's 1533-position model. The record is from RNAcentral.